Molecule: long non-coding RNA, 578 nt
Organism: Mytilus californianus (California mussel)
Lineage: Eukaryota; Metazoa; Mollusca; Bivalvia; Mytilida; Mytilidae
Exons: 3
Source: RefSeq, a predicted model, not a curated record
CAGUCUCUGCCACUGAUAAAAGGUACCCAUGAGUGUUCACAAGACAUCAGCAAGGCUGGCAUACUACAGAACAGUGUAUGUGAAGAAGAACAUGUUCUCCGACCAUUCUCAAGGGAAUCCAGUGGUGCUAUGACAAAGACCAAACAGACAUUAACAUAUGUAACAGAAAGAACAUCAUCUUCUAGCUCAAUUUCCAUUGGGCACCGCGUUCCAUUGACGUUUGUUCAUUCUAACGAUGGUAGGGGUACCAUUACGGAUGUCAUCAGUAAACUGAAUGAAAUCUGCAUAUCUACCUCCGACAGUGUGAAACCGGAUACUCCACAAUUGUUCUCUGGACUUGUAAGACUAAUGAAGGCUUUAGAAAGUGAUGAACUGGAACAGAUUUACAGAAAAGUGAAAGGAACCAGAUUCUGUGCAUCUAAUCAAAAGAGAGUUGAAAAAUUCUUCCUUGAUGCCAUUCCAAUGCUUGGAACAAAAGCUUCACUGAGAUUGAUUACUAACUUGAUCAACAAAAAAGAAGUUCGUGGAAUCGAAGCAAAUAUGUGGCUAACGACAUUAUCGUUCAUCAAAGAUCCAAC